CUGCCCAAAAGAGGGGGAUAACACUUGGAAACAGGUGCUAAUACCGCAUAACCAUAGUUACCGCAUGGUAACUAUGUAAAAGGUGGCUAUGCUACCGCUUUUGGAUGGGCCCGCGGCGCAUUAGCUAGUUGGUGGGGUAAAGGCUUAUCAAGGCAAUGAUGCGUAGCCGAACUGAGAGGUUGAUCGGCCACAUUGGGACUGAGACACGGCCCAAACUCCUACGGGAGGCAGCAGUAGGGAAUCUUCCACAAUGGGCGAAAGCCUGAUGGAGCAACGCCGCGUGGGUGAAGAAGGUCUUCGGAUCGUAAAACCCUGUUGUUAGAGAAGAAAGUGCGUGAGAGUAACUGUUCACGUUUCGACGGUAUCUAACCAGAAAGCCACGGCUAACUACGUGCCAGCAGCCGCGGUAAUACGUAGGUGGCAAGCGUUAUCCGGAUUUAUUGGGCGUAAAGGGAACGCAGGCGGUCUUUUAAGUCUGAUGUGAAAGCCUUCGGCUUAACCGGAGUAGUGCAUUGGAAACUGGGAGACUUGAGUGCAGAAGAGGAGAGUGGAACUCCAUGUGUAGCGGUGAAAUGCGUAGAUAUAUGGAAGAACACCAGUGGCGAAAGCGGCUCUCUGGUCUGUAACUGACGCUGAGGUUCGAAAGCGUGGGUAGCAAACAGGAUUAGAUACCCUGGUAGUCCACGCCGUAAAC
RNAcentral lists this ribosomal RNA (694 nucleotides) under uncultured bacterium. RNAcentral's name for it is "bacterial SSU rRNA". It matches the Rfam family "Bacterial small subunit ribosomal RNA", at positions 126 to 807 of the family's 1533-position model. The record is from RNAcentral.